This 374-nucleotide ribosomal RNA is filed under the name uncultured eukaryote. RNAcentral's name for it is "partial 18S ribosomal RNA". It matches the Rfam family "Eukaryotic small subunit ribosomal RNA", at positions 592 to 976 of the family's 1831-position model. The record is from RNAcentral.
UAAUAGUGUAUAUUAAAGUUGUUGCAGUUAAAAAGCUCGUAGUUGAAUGUUGGUGUCGAACGAGCGGUCAGCUUCGGCUGUACUGCUCUCUCGACUCCUUCCUUCUGUGGACUACGUCGCACUUUACUGUGUGGCGCUAGGACGCCGAUCGUUUACUGUGAAAAAAUUAGAGUGUUCAAAGCAGGCCGUACGCUUGAAUACAUUAGCAUGGAAUAAUGGAAUAGGACGUCGGGCCUAUUUUGUUGGUUCUAGGACCGUCGUAAUGAUUAAUAGGGACAGUUGGGGCCGUUUAUAUUCCGUAGUCAGAGGUGAAAUUCUUGGAUUUACGGAAGAUAAACUACUGCGAAAGCAUUCGGCAAGGAUGUUUUCGUUAA